RNAcentral lists this small RNA (37 nucleotides) under Propionibacterium ruminifibrarum. RNAcentral's name for it is "Propionibacterium sp. JV5 CRISPR_Spacer". Lineage: Bacteria; Bacillati; Actinomycetota; Actinomycetes; Propionibacteriales; Propionibacteriaceae. The record is from RNAcentral.
ACCGCCAUGAGGAAACUGCCCUCGCCCUGUGCGAGGG